This 92-nucleotide transfer RNA is filed under the name Helianthus annuus (common sunflower). Its description in RNAcentral is "tRNA-Leu". The stretch from base 2 to 81 matches the Rfam family "tRNA". Rfam says of the family: Transfer RNA (tRNA) molecules are approximately 80 nucleotides in length. Their secondary structure includes four short double-helical elements and three loops (D, anti-codon, and T loops). The record is from RNAcentral. Lineage: Eukaryota; Viridiplantae; Streptophyta; Magnoliopsida; Asterales; Asteraceae.
AGCCGCUAUGGUGAAAUCGGUAGACACGCUGCUCUUAGGAAGCAGUGCUAGAGCAUUUCGGUUCGAGUCCGAGUGGCGCCAUGCCAUCUUCU